UGGGUGCAGUGGUUCAUGCCUGUAAUCCCAGCACUUUGGGAGGCCGAGACCAGCGUGACUAACAUGGAGAAACCCCAUCUCUACCAAAAAUACAAAAAAUUAGCUGGGCGUGGUGGUACAUGCCUGUAAUCCCAGCUACUUGGGAGGCUGAGGCAGGAGAAUCCC
Sapajus apella (tufted capuchin) is the source of this 165-nucleotide long non-coding RNA. RefSeq lists it as uncharacterized. The transcript has 3 exons. NCBI's taxonomy places the organism in Eukaryota, Metazoa, Chordata, Mammalia, Primates, Cebidae. The record is from RefSeq and is a predicted model, not a curated record.